This 240-nucleotide ribosomal RNA is filed under the name uncultured bacterium. RNAcentral describes it as "partial 16S ribosomal RNA". It matches the Rfam family "Bacterial small subunit ribosomal RNA", at positions 96 to 334 of the family's 1533-position model. The record is from RNAcentral.
UGGCGAACGGGUGAGUAACGCGUGAGGAACCUGCCUCAAAGAGGGGGACAACAGUUGGAAACGACUGCUAAUACCGCAUAAGCCCACGGGUCGGCAUCGACCAGAGGGAAAAGGAGCAAUCCGCUUUGAGAUGGCCUCGCGUCCGAUUAGCUAGUUGGUGAGGUAACGGCCCACCAAGGCAACGAUCGGUAGCCGGACUGAGAGGUUGAACGGCCACAUUGGGACUGAGGCACGGCCCAG